This 253-nucleotide ribosomal RNA is filed under the name uncultured bacterium. Its description in RNAcentral is "partial 16S ribosomal RNA". It matches the Rfam family "Bacterial small subunit ribosomal RNA", at positions 524 to 776 of the family's 1533-position model. The record is from RNAcentral.
UACGUAGGGUGCAAGCGUUGUCCGGAAUUAUUGAGCGUAAAGAGCUCGUAGGCGGUUUGUCGCGUCUGCUGUGAAAACUCGGGGCUUAACUCCGGGCUUGCAGUGGGUACGGGCAGACUAGAGUGCGGUAGGGGAGACUGGAAUUCCUGGUGUAGCGGUGAAAUGCGCAGAUAUCAGGAGGAACACCGGUGGCGAAGGCGGCGACCUGGGUCGAGACUGACGCUGAGGCGCGAAAGCGUGGGGAGCAAACAGG